Molecule: ribosomal RNA, 164 nt
Filed under: uncultured bacterium
Lineage: Bacteria
Description: partial 16S ribosomal RNA
Rfam family: Bacterial small subunit ribosomal RNA
Source: RNAcentral
UAGGGAAUCUUCCACAAUGGACGAAAGUCUGAUGGAGCAACGCCGCGUGAGUGAAGAAGGGUUUCGGCUCGUAAAACUCUGUUGUUAAAGAAGAACAUAUCUGAGAGUAACUGUUCAGGUAUUGACGGUAUUUAACCAGAAAGUCACGGCUAACUACGUGCCAG